CAAUCAAUUACCUCUUGAAUGUAUUGUCUUUAUUUCCAAUAUCUGAACACACAAAGAAACUAUAAUCUCCUCCUUCACCUUAUCGGUCUCUUCCUUACAACAAUUCAAUCAUAUCAAUAACUGCUAUUUCUACCAAUAACUGCUAUUUCUACCAAUAACUGUUAUUUCCACCCUCAUAAUCUCCAAUUGUAAUACUGUGCCCUCACAACUUUCAGUACACAAUUACCCUCAUUCCAAUCACUGGAAUUCUUCAUACAGAACUGCCAUUCACAUUACGGUGUUUCACACAAACACAGACUCAUUCUCUCUGCUAAACUACAAUCAGAUUUCAGCAUUCAAUCUUUCUUCUUCUUAAAUAAUACCAAUCACAUUUCCAUUCCAUAAUUCACUUCAUAAUAUUCAGAAACU
This 408-nucleotide long non-coding RNA is filed under the name Physcomitrium patens. RNAcentral describes it as "long non-coding RNA (PPAT_LNC003821)". The record is from RNAcentral. Lineage: Eukaryota; Viridiplantae; Streptophyta; Bryopsida; Funariales; Funariaceae.